UACGUAGGGUGCGAGCGUUGUCCGGAAUUAUUGGGCGUAAAGGGCGCGUAGGCGGUCAGCACAAGUCAGUUGUGAAAUCUCCGGGCUUAACUCGGAAAGGUCAACUGAUACUGUGCGACUAGAGUGCAGAAGGGGCAACUGGAAUUCUCGGUGUAGCGGUGAAAUGCGUAGAUAUCGAGAGGAACACCUGCGGCGAAGGCGGGUUGCUGGGCUGACACUGACGCUGAUGCGCGAAAGCCAGGGGAGCGAACGGG
This 254-nucleotide ribosomal RNA is filed under the name uncultured bacterium. Its description in RNAcentral is "partial 16S ribosomal RNA". It matches the Rfam family "Bacterial small subunit ribosomal RNA", at positions 524 to 776 of the family's 1533-position model. The record is from RNAcentral.